AGAGAGUGUGAGCAGAGUGUGAGCAGAGGGACAUGAGGUCAGCCCCGUUCUCAGUUCCCGCCCCUUUUGAACCCCUUCCCCUGCCCUCCUCAUCCCCAUCCCUCUCUGACCGGGGCCAUUUUAGGAAAAGGAAGGCGAACAGGAAGAGGCUCGGGAACCAUGGGAACCACGGAUUAGCGUCCAGCCUUUGAGGAGGCGUUUUUCAUUUUCUUAAUUUCUUUCUGAUUGCCGGGUGACACGUUUCACGGCAACAGCUUGAUGCACAGUCGGAAGAAACACCUGGUGUGCUCCUCGCUGCUGAAAGUUCGUGCUGACGGUCUGGACCCUGUGAGGAGAGCAGGGCUCAGCCUUCAGAGCACCCCCGUAGCAUCCCGUGCUGGUGACAUGAGAGGGGGUGUCCACCAGCUCACCAACCUGCUUCACAGGCAGACGGAAGACCAGGGCAGUCUCCCAGAAUCCCUGGAGGGACCAAUGAGAGGCUACUCAUAAUGCCUGCCUCCGCAUCUCCCACCACCACCACUGAGGCCUCAGGCAUGGUGCUCCCAGCCAUGCCUGCUGCAGAGGACACAGCACCAGGGACUCAGCAGAAGACAGAAGGUGGUAGCUUCAUCUUUCCCAACUUGUUGUCAAAUGUCUUCUUUUGAACUCAGAACCCAAGCAUUCCUGGCACCUCUAGAAUAGCGACAUCUAAUCCCGGACCUAAACAAGGUUUGAGAUUCCUAUCCUGGAUUCCAUCACACCUGCUUUGGGCCAGGUCCUUUACAUAGCCGUGAGGUGAAGUUAAGGGUCCCUGGAGUUUCCCAGGCUAAGUUCAAAGGUCACCAGGGCCAGCCAGCUCCCUGCAGGCCCCAUGGAGAAGCCAUUAAGCAGAGUGUCAUCUUCCUUCCUCUCCUGUGAGGAGAAUGUACGCUGUCCCUCCACCUGGAGUCCAGCUGCACUGGAGGAGGAGGUCCCGGACAACAUGCAGAUAAGCUCUGAACCAAAUCUGAGAUUUCAAUGAAAAAUGUAAAGUUA
Long non-coding RNA from Mesocricetus auratus (golden hamster), 1014 nucleotides. RefSeq lists it as uncharacterized. The record is from RefSeq and is a predicted model, not a curated record. NCBI's taxonomy places the organism in Eukaryota, Metazoa, Chordata, Mammalia, Rodentia, Cricetidae. The transcript is spliced from 2 exons.